Molecule: long non-coding RNA, 1596 nt
Organism: Diceros bicornis minor
Lineage: Eukaryota; Metazoa; Chordata; Mammalia; Perissodactyla; Rhinocerotidae
Exons: 5
Source: RefSeq, a predicted model, not a curated record
ACGCGCACGGGCACGCGCAGCUCGGUUCUCCAGCGUCUGCGGGAGUCCUCGGCGGCAAGGCUUCACGGCAGAUCCCGAGAAGGGUCUCCCGCGGGGGCUUCGAGCCGCCGAGCGGGGAGUGGCGGGCAAGGAGUGGCUGCGACCCACUCCGAGGCCAUAACAAGGCGUUUGCAGGCGAAAAGCCAUCUGCCUCUUAAUUUUUGGAUCUCGUUUCAGAAUUUUUUUCUAAAGGACUUAGAAAUUACUGUCGGCUUGUCACCUAAGCGUAAACUUCCUCCCUGGAGAUCGGCCUUCUGAGUUUUACAGCGUCUACUUGGUUUCUCGGUACAUUUUAUGGACCCCACCCCCUUCCUGCCUAUUGCAGACCACAGCAGUUGAAAUGAGCGAGAUGGGAACGGCACCCACCGGGCCCGGAGAAUCCCAUCCAGGACACCGCAUUACAGUUAGUCAUCAUGUCUCCUUAGCCUCCUCUUGCUAUGACUUCCCUUGUUUUUGAUGACCUUGACAGUUCUGAAGAUUACGGUCAGCCCUGCUCUUAUUAAGCCCACGUUACACGGAUUCCUGCGUCAGUCUGGUGUGAUGGCAUCAAGCUGAGAACCCUCUCAACAGAAUCAUGUUAUUUCAAGUACAGCCUCUGCACGAGGAAACAUAACUUCACUUCGUUUCAUUGAAUAAUCAAAGGAGCAAUGUGUUCAUUCAUGUGGUAUGCCCAAGCCAAUUCAGCAGCCACUAUGUUCAACUGAGAAAUGGUGUCUUUUGGGGAGACCAAAAAACCCUUUCUGAUUAAUUUAGAAGUACUUGCCUGUCUCAUUGGGGAUUUGUGGGAAUCAGUUUCUACACGUGCUUUCACAUUCCCUUCUCCACCAGGCCCAAUCCCAGAUUCUUUUCUGCAUAUCGUGCAGUACGCUCUUUUUGAUUAUCUACCUUCCUGACCCAGUGUACGUGUUAUUCCAGCUGUCAUUAAAGUAACACAGUCGUUUAGUGUAAAUGACCACGAUGUCUGGUUCAUACUGGCAUUGGUAUCGUAGUCAUUCUCAUUUUCGUUAUCUGAACUCUUAAAAAACAUGGUCACAAUAUUCACCAUGUUAAAAAUUAAACCAGCACUGUCUCAACACAAAACACAACAGUUAAUCCACAGGCAAAACGAAUGUUCCUGCUCCAGAUGAGAGUGCACUUAAGUUGCGUCAUAGGAGUGGUGUAAUAAUAGAUGACCCAUUACUGUAUCGUGAACUGUAAGUCAUGGUCGUCGUCCUCAGCAACAGAGACUAGGGACAGUGCUGUGUCCAUUUGGCACUAAAACCAGUAUUGCUUUCAGCCCCUGUUUUUGGGGUCACAUUUGUGUUUUGUACAUUUCCCCUAACCUUCUGUAUCCAUCACUGAAAACUGGGAGUUUUCUCAUCUCGGAAGAUUUUACCAGAUGUAGGACUUUUAGUGCUAAAAUCAGGUCAGUCCCAGACAAGCUAGGAUUGUCGAUCUUCCUAGCACAUGCUUGUAGAAUCAUGAAAUAAUAAGUCUCAAGAUAAAUACUGCAUGAUCUCACAUAUAUGUCAAAUCUAAAAAAACUGAAUUCAUAGAUUAAGAGAGCAGAUUGGUGGU